Long non-coding RNA from Homo sapiens (human), 579 nucleotides. RefSeq lists it as uncharacterized. The record is from RefSeq and is a predicted model, not a curated record. Lineage: Eukaryota; Metazoa; Chordata; Mammalia; Primates; Hominidae. The transcript is spliced from 3 exons.
CUUGCCUUUGAUGAUUAAGUGCUAGCACCUGGCCCUUGCCACCUCAGAAUACAGUUAUUUCCAUUACAUGUACCUUUUUCAGUUGAGUGACUGAGGUUCCCACUGUAAAGUCCAGCUUAAACAGAAGAGUAACUACGGAGCUCUUCAGGGAUGCUGGGGCUCCCCUAACAAAUCUGUUUCUCAAUGUGUUCAUGAGAGGUGUGUCUUCUGGAUUCUUCCAGUGUGGGCAAAGAACAUGGACUCACAGACACUGGAUGGCUUGCACAAUGUCUUGAAGCCCCAAAGACUAGGUUGAAAUGCACAUGCAUUUUCACAAUACCACGCUUCCUCAUCUCUGUAAAGCUUACAUUUUAAUCCUCAUACAAGCUUUUGACUGAAAGGGCCUAUAAGAAAGGACAUCCCAGUGGAAGUCAGCACAUGUUAUGCAUAGAUAUUGGCUUGUAACAACAUUCCCCAUUAAAAGAAACCAGAGCUCCUGGGAGAAGUGGCUGAUAUUACAAUAGCAGAAGAAAUAUACAAGUUGGGCCUGAGUACUUUGUAGUGCCAGAAGGUUAAGAAGGACUAAAAGACCCCACAAUU